RNAcentral lists this ribosomal RNA (450 nucleotides) under uncultured bacterium. Its description in RNAcentral is "partial 16S ribosomal RNA". It matches the Rfam family "Bacterial small subunit ribosomal RNA", at positions 354 to 796 of the family's 1533-position model. The record is from RNAcentral.
GUGGGGAAUAUUCCGCAAUGGACGAAAGUCUGACGGAGCAACGCCGCGUGAGUGAUGAAGGUUUUCGGACUGUAAAGCUCUGUUGUUUAGGACGAAAGUGCCUGUUGCAAAUAGUUACAGGUAUUGACGGUACUGAACGAGGAAGCCACGGCUAACUACGUGCCAGCAGCCGCGGUAAUACGUAGGUGGCAAGCGUUGUCCGGAAUUAUUGGGCGUAACUAGCAUGUAGGCGGGAAUCUAAGUCUGUUGUGAAAAUGCGGGGCUCAACCCCGUAUUGCGAUGGAAACUGGGUUUCUUGAGUGCAGGAGAGGAAAGGGGAAUUCCCAGUGUAGCGGUGAAAUGCGUAGAUAUUGGGAGGAACACCAGUGGCGAAGGCGCCUUUCUGGACUGUGUCUGACGCUGAGAUGCGAAAGCCAGGGUAGCGAACGGGAUUAGAUACCCUGGUAGUCC